RNAcentral lists this transfer RNA (74 nucleotides) under Hydrocarboniphaga effusa AP103. It matches the Rfam family "tRNA". From Rfam's summary of the family: Transfer RNA (tRNA) molecules are approximately 80 nucleotides in length. The record is from Rfam by way of RNAcentral. Lineage: Bacteria; Pseudomonadati; Pseudomonadota; Gammaproteobacteria; Nevskiales; Nevskiaceae.
GGGCUCGUAGCUCAGCUGGAUAGAGUACCUGGCUACGAACCAGGUGGUCGGGAGUUCGAAUCUCUCCGAGCCCG